This 1223-nucleotide long non-coding RNA is filed under the name Triticum aestivum (bread wheat). RNAcentral's name for it is "long non-coding RNA (TAES_LNC006916)". Lineage: Eukaryota; Viridiplantae; Streptophyta; Magnoliopsida; Poales; Poaceae. The record is from RNAcentral.
CGUGCUCUAUCCAACCCCCAACGCUCUGUUAGGAUCAAAGGCUGCCUCAACAUCGUAGGAAUUUUUCUAGCAGCCGCCAGCCGCCUUGACACGAUCCUACCAGGAAGACAACCCAGGAAUUUCCCAUCGAGAUCUACCCUAGGUACGUGUUUGGCGAUUUCUAUCCGGGCUCUUGAGCGGCGCCAUCAUCAUGGCUAGCUAAGGAUUGAUUUUAUUCUGUUUCCUAACUAUGUGCGUUUCUAGCCGGUGUCAAAGAUCAAUCCAGUUGUUUGUUGUACAUGCAUGUCCAGUCGGACGCUAGUAAAGAUGGAUCGAAGAUCAAUCCUGAUGGAUUGAUUAGCUUUGAUGGGUUUCCACUGGCCGAUUAGCUUCAAUGGGUUUCCACUGGCCAAAAAUACUACGUGCACGCCGCUCUUAUUUGCAUGCGAGUCCAGCCAAUUGAGAUCUAUAUAUGCUUUGCCAGUUUGAUUCGGUUCUUUACAAAUGUUUUUUUUUCUUUUGAGAAAUCUCUUUAGAUAGCUGUCUCGGGCCAAAAGAACUAUGUGCAAAGUUACUAUUAUAAUUAUAGAUUAAUAAUGGAAGGUUGCCUCUACAUAUGCAGUGUAACUUACAAUUAAAGCAUCACAACCAAGAGGUUGAUGAUAUUUUGCUGCCAAAACACCAAGGGAACAAAGUCUAACUUUAGAUUGAUUUGUUGUCCCAGGCAGGCGGCUACUACCUUGAGCAAUCAGGGCGAGGCGAUACCGCGAGAAGGUAAUGUUGUGAUUUAUGAACUCUGGCAAUCACGUUAGCAAUGGUGCCAGGGCGAUGAAACUAGCUGACAAGCUAGCAUCAAGUCAGUUUCAGCACGCCCCACAAGUCGGAUCCCACCUUCAGAGCCCACCUUCGUCAUCGUCUUCCUCCAGCGAUCGGCACUUGGACAUCACCUUCCUCCAAUAGUUGCAAGUGCCCCAGUUUCCUCUGUUGACUCUCCUCGACUGUUAUCGGCUCCGUCAAGCAAUCACACCACCUCCAGUAAGUAAUAUGUGCAUCAAAUUAUCUCCAGCAUGUAUCACCUGCACCAAUUUAGAUAAUUUGCACGGUUCCUGUAUAUGGCAUUGAUGAAUUCGUUACUAAUCAUGGAUCAAUGGAUUGGGUUGCUUACCAUGAUGAAACCAAUUGAGGAAGUACAGAAGAACAGACGGACAAGCAGAGAGCAAACUUCAAACAUCUGCGAGAUGCAN